UACAGAGGGUGCGAGCGUUGUCCGGAAUCACUGGGCGUAAAGGGCGCGUAGGCGGCUUGAUAAGGUUGCGGUGAAAGCCCGGGGCUCAACCCCGGGUCGGCCGUGGCAACUGUCGAGCUGGAGCACUGUAGAGGCAGGUGGAAUUCCGGGUGUAGCGGUGGAAUGCGUAGAGAUCCGGAAGAACACCGGUGGCGAAGGCGGCCUGCUGGGCAGUGGCUGACGCUGAGGCGCGACAGCGUGGGGAGCGAACAGG
This 253-nucleotide ribosomal RNA is filed under the name uncultured bacterium. Its description in RNAcentral is "partial 16S ribosomal RNA". It matches the Rfam family "Bacterial small subunit ribosomal RNA", at positions 524 to 776 of the family's 1533-position model. The record is from RNAcentral.